This 2046-nucleotide long non-coding RNA is filed under the name Macaca mulatta (Rhesus monkey). RNAcentral's name for it is "lncRNA (ENSMMUG00000050692.1)". The record is from RNAcentral. Lineage: Eukaryota; Metazoa; Chordata; Mammalia; Primates; Cercopithecidae.
ACUAUUGCUUUUAGGGUAAUUUGAUUUUUUUAACUCCAGAAAAAUAAAAUGUACCUUUUGCAGAAAAUGAUUAAUGUGUAUUAACAGAGAUAUUUCCCUUAUCACAUUAACCCUCUGUGCUUCAAGGAGAGUCAAGAGAGCUGCUCAAAUUUUGUUAUUUCUGGAAGUUUUCUUACCGUAAAGCUUUCCCACUUAGUAAUUUUUAAAAAGUGUUUAUAGUUUCAGGUAUGCCUCUCCACCACAUAAUUUGCAUGUACUUAAUCAGGAUCUUACUUUUAUUAUUAAAAAAAUCCAAUCCCUAUGAAUGUCAGUGUUUAUGAGCUCUCCUUCUAAUAGCCAGAGAGGUCUGUCUCAUUCAGUCUAGCUCUCUGCAAAAUUUAGCGAGUGGCUGUUCAUCAGGCAGUAAAUGUCAGGGUGACAAAUUGCCAAAUCCAGGGCAGCUUCUCCUCCCAGCAGUGAGCACUUUUCAGAUCAUUUUGCUUUUAAGUGUUUUUCGCCUUGUUUCUAAUGGAAGAGAGAGAAGGGGGAGGGGGUAACGAUAGUAAUGCACUUUGUUCAGUCACUUAGUUCUAAGUCAAUAGUUUUCCCUAAUGCAAAGAGAUGUUAUUCCCUUUAUAGCUCCAGGUCUGGUUAGAUUUCUGAAAGGUCAGGGAGCACAUCAAGCACAUCAAGGAAUCAUGCCCCAUUUUAAAGGGGUUGCUUGUGAGAAGAAAGAGCCACAGGCAGAAGAUGGAACUUAGUGGGACAUGAGUAUUUGGGGAAUGACCAGUGAAAUAGGAGCCUAGGAAACAGAUAGAGCACAAUUGUAAGAGAUCUGGGUAAGUGCACAAUCAUGAAAAGAAAAUGGACAAAGAAAGUUUCAAAAUGGAGCUUUUUAAAAGCUUCAAUUAUUGACAUUCAGUUAUCAACAGUGAUAUAAAGAAGUUUUUAAAAUGUAUAUGGCUUUUCCUAGUGUUCCCAAGUCAUAUUGUGGAGAUGGCUUGGUAUCCUUCUUCAUUCUUGGCUCUUAAAACCUGAUUCUGGCUGGGCAUGGUGGCUCAUGCCUGUAAUCCCGGCACUUUGGGAGACCAAGGUGGGCAAAUCACCUGAGGUCAGGAGUUUGAGACCAGGUUGGCCAACACAAUGAAACCCCAUCUCUACUAAAAGUACAAAAAUUAGCCGAGUGUGGUGGUAUUCACCUGUAGUCCCAGCUGCUUGGGAGGCUGAGGCAGGAGACUCACUUGAACCUGGGAGGCAGAGGUUGCAGUGAGCUGAGAUCAUGUCAUUGCACUCCAGCCUGGGCAACAAGAGCUAAACUUUGUCUCAAAACAAACAAACAAAAAACAACCCCCAAAAACUUGAUUCUACUUGACUUCAGCGUGGCCCUUCCUGCCUCUUAGAAAGUCAAUCAAUACUGUUUUCUUCAAGCUGCACAAGGUCCCUAUCCUCAUCUUUACUCCUGAAACUCUUGGCUUAAGAUUUGGUCUUGCAUUAGGAAUUGAAGUAGCUGGUAUCUUAACCUAAGCCAAUGUAAUAAUAAUGUUCUCCCUACUGACUCCCAAAUCACAUUUUAAAACUUCAUUUAAAAAAUCUUCCCUUGAGACAUACAAGUAGCCAACAAACAUAUGAAGAAAUGUUUCACAUUACUAAUCAUCAGAGAAACGCAAAUAAAACCACAAUGAGAUAUCAUCUCACAUCAGUCAGAAUGGCUGUUUUUACAAAGUAAAAAAGCGACAGAUGCUGGUGGGGCUGUGGAGAAAAGGAAAUGCUUAUAUGCUGUCAAUGGGAAUGUAAAUUAGUUCAGCUGCUGUGGAAAGUAGUUUGGGAAUUUCUCAGAGAAACCUAAAACAGAACUACCAUUUGACCCAGCAAUCUCAUUACUCGGUGUAUAUCCAAAAGGAAACAAAUUUUCCUACCAAAAAGAUACAUUUACUUGUAUGUUUAUUGCAACACUAUUCACAACAGCAAAGACAGAAUCAACCUAGGUGCCCAUCAACUGUGGAUUGGAUAAAGAAAAUGUGGUAUAUAUAAACCAUGGAAUGCUAUGCAGCCAUAAAAAAGAAUGAA